Tetranychus urticae (two-spotted spider mite) is the source of this 2052-nucleotide ribosomal RNA. It matches the Rfam family "Eukaryotic small subunit ribosomal RNA". The record is from Rfam. Lineage: Eukaryota; Metazoa; Arthropoda; Arachnida; Trombidiformes; Tetranychidae.
AAACUGCCUUUGCAGUGAGUUCCUUUAGAUCAUGAUGUUCGUCCGCAUCAAAACCAAAAGAUGAGGGAAACCGCGAAUGUAUGAAACAAGAGCUGGAGAGACAAGCUGAACACUUGGAAAAAUGUUCAAACGAUCUAAUAGGGGUCCCCUCGCCGCAAGGUGAGGGGAUCCCUAUUUCACGUUAGGCAAAAUUGUUGUCAAAAUCGCGAAGAACCAUGAUGAGCACAUGUAAAAAUGCUCGAUGAUCUAAAGGGGUCCCCUCACUGUAAGGUGGGGGGAUCCCUUUUUCACUUUAGAGCAAAGAUGUGGUGAAAAUCACAAUACCCGUAAAGUCAAAGGGUUCGAUUCCGGAGAGGGAGCCUGAGAAACGGCUACCACAUCUAAGGAAGGCAGCAGGCGCGCAAAUUACACAAUCCCAGUACGGGGAUGUAGUGACGAAAAAUAACAAUACGGGACUCUAUUGAGGCCCCGUAAUUGGAAUGAGUACAAUUUAAAUCCUUUAACGAGGAUCUAUUGGAGGGCAAGUCUGGUGCCAGCAGCCGCGGUAAUUCCAGCUCCAAUAGCGUAUAUUAAAGUUGCUGCGGUUAAAAAGCUCGUAGUUGGAUUUCAGUCGAACCUAUGGGGUCCACUGAUUAAAGGGUUAGAUGGUGAUGUUAGGUUUCUUGCUUGUGUCUACGGAUGCUUGCUUGAACCUUCAUUCCUCUUUCCUGGUGGUUACAUUCAUAGUGUUUAGACAGAAAAUUGCUCGAUAUUUGCUAUCAAUGCUCUUUACCGAGUGUUGAUUCAAGCGAUCGAGACUUUUACCUUGAAAAAAUCAGAGUGCUCAAAGCAGGCGUCCAAAACCUCGAAAGAGGUGCCUAAAAACGGUAUGGUCAACCAUCUAUAUGAUGCGUACCACUACCUUAACUUGAAUGAUCUUGCAUGGAAUAAUGGAAUAGGACCUUGGUUCUAUUUUGUUGGUCUUAAGAAUCCAAGGUAAUGAUUAAGAGGGACAGACGGGGGCAUUUGUAUUGCGGCGCUAGAGGUGAAAUUCUUGGACCGUCGCAAGACAAACUACAGCGAAAGCAUUUGCCAAGAAUGUUUUCAUUAAUCAAGAACGAAAGUUAGAGGUUCGAAGGCGAUCAGAUACCGCCCUAGUUCUAACCAUAAACGAUGCCAACCAGCGAUCAUUCUGAGUAACUAAUUUCAUGACUCGAAUGGAAGCUUCCGGGAAACCAAAGUUUUUGGGUUCCGGGGGAAGUAUGGUUGCAAAGCUGAAACUUAAAGGAAUUGACGGAAGGGCACCACCAGGAGUGGAGCUUGCGGCUUAAUUUGACUCAACACGGGAAAACUCACCCGGCCCGGACACUGAGAGGAUUGACAGAUUGAGAGCUCUUUCUUGAUUCAGUGGGUGGUGGUGCAUGGCCGUUCUUAGUUGGUGGAGUGAUUUGUCUGGUUAAUUCCGAUAACGAACGAGACUCUAGCCUACUAAAUAGACUUGCAGUUUACACUGCAGUACUCCCCCUUAGUCAACCUGUGGGUGGUAGUAUCUCUUGAUGGUUUCGGCUGUUGAGGGCUCUGCUGCUAUUAGCCUACAGAAUUGGCUAGGGUAAGGAUGCUGUAGCACUGUAAGGACUUCUUAGAGGGACAAGCGGCGCUCGCAGCCGCACGAAACAGAGCAAUAACAGGUCUGUGAUGCCCUUAGAUGUCCGGGGCCGCACGCGUGCUACACUGAAGUGGUCAUCGUGCAUACUGUUUCCUGCUCCGAAAGGAGUGGGUAACCGCUUGAACCCAUUUCGUGAUGGGGAUUGGGCAUUGUAAUUAUUGCCCAUGAACGAGGAAUUCCCAGUAAGCGUGAGUCAUUAGCUUGCGUUGAUUACGUCCCUGCCCUUUGUACACACCGCCCGUCGCUACUACCGAUUGAAUGAUUUAGUGAGGACUUCGGACUGGUCAAUCCAGACCAUUGGGAAACUAGUGGUCGGAUUGUGCUGGAAAGAUGUUCAAACUUGAUCAUUUAGAGGAAGUAAAAGUCGUAACAAGGUUUCCGUAGGUGAACCUGCGGAAGGAUCAUUA